GUGAAUGGACCUCAAUCUCGCGCGGCUCGGCGCACUUGAAAUUCAACACGUACACUUUUCAUUUUCAUGCAGCGCCGUGAGUAUUAAUCACAUUAAAGCGCGAAUGUGAAGCCGACCAUCGCAUGUAUCUUAUCGCAUCCAACAGACGCCUCGACAGCACGAUUGAAAUGCCGAUUCCUACCUUGAGCAGUAAGAAGACUAAGAUAAACGCCGGCCGAGGAAAUAGGUCUGUCCAGCCAGAAGCUAAAGACAUCACAUGUUUGCAAAAUGGACCAGUAACCACGUGAAUCGGCACAAACGUGACACGACGAGACCGUCGCAUGACCUAUCCAGAUUUACAAUAAGGCAGCAUCUCCGUUACUGCGGUCGUUAGUAUUAAAUUUCCUGCUUCUACCA
Molecule: long non-coding RNA, 396 nt
Organism: Cloeon dipterum
Lineage: Eukaryota; Metazoa; Arthropoda; Insecta; Ephemeroptera; Baetidae
Exons: 3
Source: RefSeq, a predicted model, not a curated record